Zingiber officinale is the source of this 640-nucleotide long non-coding RNA. RefSeq lists it as uncharacterized. Lineage: Eukaryota; Viridiplantae; Streptophyta; Magnoliopsida; Zingiberales; Zingiberaceae. The transcript has 3 exons. The record is from RefSeq and is a predicted model, not a curated record.
CAUCUCUUCCCGUUUACUUCAGCGACGCCGUCUCCUGCCCUAACCACUCCUAACCAGCGCCGCACGACGCUCCUUCUUCCCGAGCCGAUCAGUUUUUCCCUCUGCCGUUGCCUCGUCGCCUCAGAGAUCUCAGUCUACUGCCGGCCUCUCCUUCUCUUCCUCUCCCGAGCGCCGGCCGCUGGCAAGUAUCCCGUGCCCUAGCGUUGACGCCCUCUACCUUGCGGACCCGUGCCCUAGAUCGCCGGGAGUCGGAAGCCGGGAGCGUGUGUCAAGGAUAGAGCAGGAAAGCACUAUUACUGGUUGUCGGAAAAUCAUGGAGGUGGAGGAUUUGCUUGAUUCCGACCACCCCAUCCCUGUCAGCAGAUUGGCACGCCUUAAGUGGUUAGGUUUUGAUGGUUGAUCACGGAGAAAGUGCCAAGUAAGAUGGAUUCCAGUAGGUGAUGGGUUGUUCGGUGGAUCUAGAAUUUGGGGGUUUUCAGUUGAUCCAUAUCUAGGCUGUGAGGUUUGCUUGUUUUGGUUUGGCAGCAAUCCAUCCAUCAGUGUUCCUUGUUUCAGCAUCAGCAGUAGCUGAGAAUUGAGGACUUUGAUGCGAGACGAGUAUCUCGACGUCGGAUUUCGACCUGAUACGAACAUUCCUAUU